Python bivittatus (Burmese python) is the source of this 1523-nucleotide non-coding RNA. The record is from RefSeq and is a predicted model, not a curated record. Lineage: Eukaryota; Metazoa; Chordata; Lepidosauria; Squamata; Pythonidae.
AGAUUCUGGUUUGCGUAGAUCCUGACACAGACCAUGACAGGCAUGCCUCAGUAUGCCCAUGUAACACCUCUGCUUCACAAUCUGUACUAGUUGCCAGCUUGUUUCCCAGUACAAUUCAAGGUGCUGGUCAUUACUUCUAAAGCCGUACAUGGCAUAGGACUUGGUUAUUUGCGGGAUUGUCUCCCAUAGUAUUUGUUCAGCUGUUUCAAUCUGGCAGGAUUGGCACACUCCAGGUUCCUUCAAUUAAACAAUGUCAUCUAUUAGGACCACAGAAUCACACCUUCUUUGUAGCAGCAUCUGGCCUCUGAAACAAGAUUCUCCCCAAGAUCUAGAUGGCCCCCACUCUGCUGUUGUUUAGAAGAGUCAAGAAACCUGACCCAGGCCUUUGGCAACGGAGAGUGAAAUCUUUUGCGUCAUUUCCAUCCAAUCUGUCAUUCUUGCCAUCUUUUAUCUUUUUUUCCCCAUUUUAAUUGGUUUUAUUGUAAUUUCCUUCUUUGAUUGUUGUGAGCCACCUAGUCAUCAGGAGUCAGGUAGCAUACAUGUUUGAUAAAUAAAUAAAUGGGAUUUGGGGUCAAGGAGCUUGUAGCUCAGCUCAAAGCAACAUGCCACUGGGUUAGAAAUAUGAAAGGCCUUGCUGUUGUUAGGCACUCAACACCUGAGCUGAGGUAUGUCCCCUAAUCCUGCCGAGACCCAACCAUGGGAUCUGGAAUGAUGAGUUACUUUUAAGAGGAUGCAAUGAGGCUGCCCACUAAUUCUUGCUGCCCUCAGAAAAGCAUCUAUCCUUGCCCAGGAUGACGAGUCCAUCCAUGGCCACAAGAAAACCUUUUUCUUCACUCUUCCCACAGCUUGAGGCUACACAUUUCCAAAUGAACACUGACCCUGUCAUACUGGGCAUUUCUUUCUCUCCCUCUUUGCUAGCUGGCGCCACAAUAUCAGUUAUGGUUGAAAUCUUCAAUCAAACAUACCGUCCAUCUGCCUUUGUGAUUGUGGGAUUUAUCAACUGGAUGGGACUCUUUCUGCUUGGGAUGAUCUUCCCAUUCAUUGUGGAAUAUCUUGGUCCCUUCUGCUUCCUGAUUUUUAUGGGGAUCCUGGCUGUUUCAAGUGUAAUCAUCUACUUAUAUCUUCCAGAAACAAAGGGAAAAUCCAUUCUUGAAAUUACAAUGGAGUUUAAUAAGUUAAAUUAUGGAAAGAAACAAGUUUUUCUCACAGAAAAUAAUUCUCCAAAGGAAACUGUACUUUGUACCAAACUUUAACUCUUGAACUACAAAAUCUCCAUAUCUCAAGAACUGUAGGGCACAUAAAAUUGUAAACCAGACCAUUUACAACACUGAAGCACUUGUUCUGCGAUUUUGCAUAGCUUCACAAAGAGCAAAACCCACCUGUUUACGUUUGAUGAACUUUUGAUGUGCCCGAUUGUAUCCUGUGCUGCAAAGCCUAUCUUCUCAAUUCCUGUGUCCAGAGAGCCUUUCUAAACCAGGUGGAGCAUAAUCAAAUUAACUGUGUAAAUUAAACACUUAAAAUUA